AGUAGCGGCGAGUGAAGCUGCAACAGCUCAAAUUUGAAAUCUGGCCCGCGGGUCCGAAGUGUAAUUUGUAGAGGAUGCUGUUGGUGAGGUACCUUCCGAGUUCCCUGGAACGGGACGCCAUAGAGGGUGAGAGCCCCGUCUGGUUGGAUACCGGUCCUCUGAAAAGCUCCUUCGACGAGUCGAGUUGUUUGGGA
Molecule: ribosomal RNA, 194 nt
Filed under: Ilyonectria sp.
Lineage: Eukaryota; Fungi; Ascomycota; Sordariomycetes; Hypocreales; Nectriaceae
Description: partial large subunit ribosomal RNA
Rfam family: Eukaryotic large subunit ribosomal RNA
Source: RNAcentral